This 311-nucleotide unclassified non-coding RNA is filed under the name Hevea brasiliensis (rubber tree). The record is from RNAcentral. Lineage: Eukaryota; Viridiplantae; Streptophyta; Magnoliopsida; Malpighiales; Euphorbiaceae.
GUUUUGAAGAAAAAGACCAGAGAAAAAAAAAAGAAAACAGAGGUUCUCUUUCGAACUGCAGCAGAGUAUAAGAAGAGAGAAGAGAAUGAGACUUUGCUGUGUUGAAACUUGAAAGAAGAAAAACAUAGAAGAAGAGGAGAAGAAAUAGAGGAAAGAAGGAGUAGAGGAGAGAGAGAGGGAAAGAUGAGACAUACCCAUAGUCCCAUACAACAGAAUUCAUUAAAAAGAGGAGGAGAGAAAAAGAAGAAAAUAGGAAAGUGUGCAAAGAUACUGCUGUGUUUUAGAGAAGAAGAGAAGAAAGAGAGGAAAGA